RNAcentral lists this ribosomal RNA (1337 nucleotides) under Clostridioides difficile. RNAcentral describes it as "bacterial LSU rRNA". It matches the Rfam family "Bacterial large subunit ribosomal RNA", at positions 1 to 1350 of the family's 2925-position model. Lineage: Bacteria; Bacillati; Bacillota; Clostridia; Peptostreptococcales; Peptostreptococcaceae. The record is from RNAcentral.
UGGUCAAGUUAUUAAGGGUGCAGGGCGGAUGCCUUGGCACUAGGAGCCGAUGAAGGACGUGAUAAGCUGCGAUAAGCUUCGGGGAGUUGCACGUAAACUUUGAUCCGAAGAUUUCCGAAUGAGGAAACUCACUUAGAGUAAUGUCUAAGUAUCAUUAAGUGAAUACAUAGCUUAAUGAGGGGAACUCAGGGAACUGAAACAUCUAAGUACCUGAAGGAAGAGAAAGAAAUUCGAUUCCGUAAGUAGCGGCGAGCGAACGCGGAUUAGCCCAAACCAAUAAAGUUUUCUUUAUUGGGGUUGCGGACAUAUCAUAACGAAGAGGUAUCGUAAUUGAAGAGGUUUGGAAAGACCCACCACAGAAGGUAAUAGUCCUGUAUGUUAAACGAGAAGACUUUAGAUAUGAUCCAGAGUACCACGGGACACGUGAAACCCUGUGGGAAGCAGGAGGGACCACCCUCCAAGGCUAAAUACUACCUAGUGACCGAUAGCGUAUAGUACCGUGAGGGAAAGGUGAAAAGAACCCCGGGAGGGGAGUGAAAUAGAACCUGAAACCCUGCACUUACAAGCUGUGGAAGCACAUUUCUUGUGUGACCGCGUACUUUUUGUAGAACGGGCCAACGAGUUACGUUAAGUAGCAAGGUUAAGCACUUAAGGUGCGGAGCCGUAGCGAAAGCGAGUUUUAACUGAGCGUUCAGUUACUUGACGUAGACCCGAAACCGGGCGACCUACCCAUGAGCAGGAUGAAGCGAAAGUAAAAUUUCGUGGAGGUCCGAACCCACGAGCGUUGAAAAGCUCGGGGAUGACUUGUGGGUAGCGGUGAAAUUCCAAUCGAGCCCGGAGAUAGCUGGUUCUCCCCGAAAUAGCUUUAGGGCUAGCCUCAAGGUGAGAGAUACGGAGGUAGAGCACUGAAUGUCCUAGGGGGUAUUGCACCUACCGAAGACUAUCAAACUCCGAAUGCCGUCAUCUUAUACUUGGGAGUCAGACUGUGGGUGAUAAGAUUCAUAGUCGAAAGGGCAACAGCCCAGAUCGUCAGCUAAGGUCCCUAAAUGUAAGUUAAGUGGUAAAGGAUGUGGGAUUGCACAGACAACCAGGAUGUUGGCUUAGAAGCAGCCACUCAUUCAAAGAGUGCGUAAUAGCUCACUGGUCGAGUGAUCCUGCGCCGAAGAUUUCCGGGGCUAAAACUUACUACCGAAGCUACGGCAUCAGUAAUGAUGGGUAGGGGAGCUUCCCAUACGGGUUGAAGCAUGACCGUAAGGACAUGUGGACAGUAUGGGAGUGAGAAUGUUGGCAUGAGUAGCGAGAUGUGGGUGAGAAUCCCACAGGCCGUAAACCCAAGG